AGGGCCGCUACCACGCGAGUGGAUGCCAAUCCCUAAAACCCCUCUCAGUUCGGACUGGAGUCUGCAACCCGACUCCACGAAGCUGGAUUCGCUAGUAAUCGCGCAUCAGCCACGGCGCGGUGAAUACGUUCCCGGGCCUUGUACACACCGCCCGUCAAGCCAUGGGAGCCGGGGGGUACCUGAAGUGCGUAACCGCGAGGAUCGCCCUAGGGUAAAACUGGUGACUGGGGGCUAAGUCGUAACAAGGUAGC
RNAcentral lists this ribosomal RNA (251 nucleotides) under uncultured bacterium. RNAcentral's name for it is "partial 16S ribosomal RNA". It matches the Rfam family "Bacterial small subunit ribosomal RNA", at positions 1243 to 1500 of the family's 1533-position model. The record is from RNAcentral.